Molecule: transfer RNA, 73 nt
Filed under: Ailuropoda melanoleuca (giant panda)
Lineage: Eukaryota; Metazoa; Chordata; Mammalia; Carnivora; Ursidae
Rfam family: tRNA
About the family: Transfer RNA (tRNA) molecules are approximately 80 nucleotides in length. Their secondary structure includes four short double-helical elements and three loops (D, anti-codon, and T loops).
Source: Rfam by way of RNAcentral
ACCUGGCUGGCUCAUUUGGUGGAGCAUGCAACUCUUGAUCUCAGGGUUGUGAGUUCGAGCCCCACGUUGGGUG